CGGGGUGUAGCUCAGCCUGGUAGAGCACCACGUUCGGGACGUGGGGGUCGUAGGUUCGAAUCCUGUCACCCCGACCA
This 77-nucleotide transfer RNA is filed under the name Pseudomonadota bacterium. Its description in RNAcentral is "Proteobacteria bacterium tRNA-Pro". It matches the Rfam family "tRNA". Rfam says of the family: Transfer RNA (tRNA) molecules are approximately 80 nucleotides in length. Their secondary structure includes four short double-helical elements and three loops (D, anti-codon, and T loops). RNAcentral also lists the same sequence under 3 other names. Lineage: Bacteria; Pseudomonadati; Pseudomonadota. The record is from RNAcentral.